Molecule: ribosomal RNA, 417 nt
Filed under: uncultured bacterium
Lineage: Bacteria
Description: bacterial SSU rRNA
Rfam family: Bacterial small subunit ribosomal RNA
Source: RNAcentral
AACGCGAAGAACCUUACCUGGGCUUGACAUACACUGGAUUGCUGCAGAGAUGUAGUGUCCCUUUGGGGCUGGUGUACAGGUGGUGCAUGGUUGUCGUCAGCUCGUGUCGUGAGAUGUUGGGUUAAGUCCCGCAACGAGCGCAACCCUUGUCUUGUGUUGCCAGCACGUGAUGGUGGGGACUCGCGAGAGACUGCCGGGGUUAACUCGGAGGAAGGUGGGGAUGACGUCAAAUCAUCAUGCCCCUUAUGUCCAGGGGCUUCGCGCAUGCUACAAUGGUCGGUACAGGGGGUUGCGAUGCCGGCGAGGUGGAGCGAAGCCAAUCCCUUAAAGCCGGUCUCAGUUCGGAUUGGAGUCUGCAACUCGACUCCAUUAAGUCGGAAGUCGCUUGUAACGCAGAUCAGCUAUGCUGCGGUAAUC